GAUGAACGCUGGCGGCGUGCCUAAUACAUGCAAGUCGAGCGAACAGACGAGGAGCUUGCUCCUCUGACGUUAGCGGCGGACGGGUGAGUAACACGUGGAUAACCUACCUAUAAGACUGGGAUAACUUCGGGAAACCGGAGCUAAUACCGGAUAAUAUAUUGAACCGCAUGGUUCACUAGUGAAAGACGGUUUUGCUGUCACUUAUAGAUGGAUCCGCGCCGCAUUAGCUAGUUGGUAAGGUAACGGCUUACCAAGGCGACGAUGCGUAGCAGACCUGAGAGGGACAAUGGGCAGCUGGGAAGAGAGGAAGCGCCCAGACUUCUACGGGAGGCCGCAGUAGGGAAUCUUCCGCAAGGGGGGAAAGCCGGAUGUAGCGACGCCGGGUGAGGGAUGAAGGUGUUCGGAUCGGAAAACGCUGUUAGUAGGGGAGAACAAAUGUGCAAGUAACUAGGAACGUCAUGACGGUACCCAGUCAGAAAGCCACGGCUAACUACGUG
Molecule: ribosomal RNA, 497 nt
Filed under: uncultured bacterium
Lineage: Bacteria
Description: partial 16S ribosomal RNA
Rfam family: Bacterial small subunit ribosomal RNA
Source: RNAcentral